UGCUUGCCGUUUUUAUUUUCCUUGUGACAGACAGACAGACAGCUGCACAGACAGCUGGAUGGCUGGGGGGAUGGUCAGGACAACAUGGGCAAUAGGGAUUGGAUGGAAGGGAAAUUUCAUAAAAGUCAAUAAAUAAAUAAAUACGAAUGGGAAGAAGGGCGAAGGCCACGGAGCGGUGGUGGGGACAUCCUUGGGCCAGCUCAGAGUGCCCACAGCUGCAUCCACUGGGACAGGAGGAGAGCACUGGCUUCAGUUCCCA
Molecule: non-coding RNA, 259 nt
Organism: Ceratotherium simum simum (southern white rhinoceros)
Lineage: Eukaryota; Metazoa; Chordata; Mammalia; Perissodactyla; Rhinocerotidae
Source: RefSeq, a predicted model, not a curated record